AAGUCGUAACAAGGUAACCGUAGGUGAACCUGCGGUUGGAUCAUUAAAAAAAUAAGAAGUUUGACUUCUUUACUGGGCCAGUAUUAUGUACUGGCUUGGGAAACAACUUGUGCAUUAGAAAUGAACUUGGGGAGUGACAAGUGUGCGAUGUAUUUCAAGCACUGUGCUCCCCAAACUUUACACCCCUUUAUACUUACUGAAUAAAGAGACAAUGAGAAACAACUUUUGACAACGGAUCUCUUGGCUCUC
RNAcentral lists this unclassified non-coding RNA (249 nucleotides) under fungal sp. RNAcentral describes it as "partial internal transcribed spacer region". The stretch from base 1 to 46 matches the Rfam family "Eukaryotic small subunit ribosomal RNA", at positions 1786 to 1831 of the family's 1831-position model. The record is from RNAcentral. Lineage: Eukaryota; Fungi.